GCCCUGGUAGCUCAGCGGACAGAGCACCCGCCUCCUAAGCGGGCAGCCGCCGGUUCGAUUCCGGCCCGGGGCA
RNAcentral lists this transfer RNA (73 nucleotides) under Actinoplanes sp. ATCC 53533. It matches the Rfam family "tRNA". Rfam says of the family: Transfer RNA (tRNA) molecules are approximately 80 nucleotides in length. Their secondary structure includes four short double-helical elements and three loops (D, anti-codon, and T loops). Lineage: Bacteria; Bacillati; Actinomycetota; Actinomycetes; Micromonosporales; Micromonosporaceae. The record is from Rfam by way of RNAcentral.